RNAcentral lists this ribosomal RNA (407 nucleotides) under Nostoc sp. HG1. RNAcentral's name for it is "partial 23S ribosomal RNA". It matches the Rfam family "Bacterial large subunit ribosomal RNA", at positions 1842 to 2260 of the family's 2925-position model. The record is from RNAcentral. Lineage: Bacteria; Bacillati; Cyanobacteriota; Cyanophyceae; Nostocales; Nostocaceae.
CGUAUAGGGUCUGACGCCUGCCCGGUGCCGGAAGGUUAAGGGAGAUGUGCAAGCAUCGAACUGAAGCCCCGGUAAACGGCGGCCGUAACUAUACGGUCCUAAGGUAGCGAAAUUCCUUGUCGGGUAAGUUCCGACCUGCACGAAUGGAGUAACGACUUGGGCGCUGUCUCAACCAUGGACUCGGCGAAAUUGCACUACGAGUAAAGAUGCUCGUUACGCGCGGCAGGACGGAAAGACCCCGGGACCUUUACUAUAGUUUGGUAUUGGUGUUAGGUACUGCUUGUGUAGGAUAGGUGGGAGACUGUGAAGAUCAGACGCCAGUUUGGUUGGAGUCAUCGUUGAAAUACCACUCUAGUAGUAUUUGAUGUCUAACCUAGGUCCGUCAUCCGGAUCAGGGACAGUGCCUG